GAUGAACGCUGGCGGCGUGCCUAAUACAUGCAAGUCGAGCGAACAGACGAGGAGCUUGCUCCUCUGACGUUAGCGGCGGACGGGUGAGUAACACGUGGAUAACCUACCUAUAAGACUGGGAUAACUUCGGGAACCCGUAGCUAAUACCGGAUAAUAUAUUGAACCGCAUGGUUCAAUAGUGAAAGACGGUUUUGCUGUCACUUAUAGAUGGAUCCGCGCCGCAUUAGCUAGUUGGUAAGGUAACGGCUUACCAAGGCAACGAUGCGUAGCCGACCUGAGAGGGUGAUCGGCCACACUGGAACUGAGACACGGUCCAGACUCCUACGGGAGGCAGCAGUAGGGAAUCUUCCGCAAUGGGCGAAAGCCUGACGGAGCAACGCCGCGUGAGUGAUGAAGGUCUUCGGAUCGUAAAACUCUGUUAUUAGGGAAGAACAAAUGUGUAAGUAACUAUGCACGUCUUGACGGUACCUAAUCAGAAAGCCACGGCUAACUACGUG
Molecule: ribosomal RNA, 497 nt
Filed under: uncultured bacterium
Lineage: Bacteria
Description: partial 16S ribosomal RNA
Rfam family: Bacterial small subunit ribosomal RNA
Source: RNAcentral